Topomyia yanbarensis is the source of this 317-nucleotide long non-coding RNA. RefSeq lists it as uncharacterized. The transcript is spliced from 3 exons. The record is from RefSeq and is a predicted model, not a curated record. NCBI's taxonomy places the organism in Eukaryota, Metazoa, Arthropoda, Insecta, Diptera, Culicidae.
AAAACUGGUAGUACCACAAAUUCAGCAUUAUUUUUCAAAAGGUCUUUUGUGCGAAUGAGAGCUUUUGUUAUAUACUUUCCUUUUAUUUAUAUUAUAACGACCGUUUUCUUUUCUUUCCGAUUGCUUCCUUAAACCUUGUAUAAUAUGUGAAUCGAGAUCAUAAUAUUUCGAUAUGUGCUGGCAAAAUUGUAUGAUGGAACUGUAAUAAGCGAAAUCUAAGAUCACCUCUUCGGGUUAGAAAAAUCUCUAACCUUAUGUGCGGGGUUGGGACUUGAACCCAGGUUUUUUCUGGCAGUUGUACAACAGCCGUAAAGGAU